RNAcentral lists this ribosomal RNA (428 nucleotides) under uncultured bacterium. RNAcentral describes it as "partial 16S ribosomal RNA". It matches the Rfam family "Bacterial small subunit ribosomal RNA", at positions 354 to 796 of the family's 1533-position model. The record is from RNAcentral.
GUGGGGAAUAUUGGGCAAUGGGGGAAACCCUGACCCAGCAACGCCGCGUGAAGGAAGAAGGUCUUCGGAUUGUAAACUUUUGUCCCGCGGGAAGAAAAAAAUGACGGUACCGCGGGAGGAAGCCCCGGCUAACUACGUGCCAGCAGCCGCGGUAAUACGUAGGGGGCGAGCGUUGUCCGGAAUUACUGGGCGUAAAGGGUGCGCAGGCGGUUUUUUAAGUCAGGUGUGAAAUACCCGGGCUCAACCCGGGGGGUGCAUUUGAAACUGGGAGACUUGAGUGCAGGAGAGGGGAGCGGAAUUCCUAGUGUAGCGGUGAAAUGCGUAGAUAUUAGGAGGAACACCAGUGGCGAAGGCGGCUCUCUGGACUGCAACUGACGCUGAGGCACGAAAGCGUGGGGAGCAAACAGGAUUAGAAACCCCAGUAGUCC